AACGAACGCUGGCGGCAGGCCUAACACAUGCAAGUCGAACGCACCGCAAGGUGAGUGGCGCACGGGUGAGUAACACGUGGGAAUGUAUCCUUUGGUUCGGAAUAACGUUUGGAAACGAACGCUAAUACCGGAUGAGCCCUUAGGGGGAAAGAUUUAUCGCCGAAGGAGCAGCCCGCGUCUGAUUAGGUAGUUGGUGGGGUAAAGGCCUACCAAGCCGACGAUCAGUAGCUGGUCUGAGAGGAUGAUCAGCCACACUGGGACUGAGACACGGCCCAGACUCCUACGGGAGGCAGCAGUGGGGAAUAUUGGACAAUGGGCGAAAGCCUGACGCAGCCAUGCCGCGUGAAUGAUGAAGGUCUUAGGAUUGUAAAAUUCUUUCACCGGGGACGAUGAUGACGGUACCCGGAGAAGAAGCCCCGGCUAACUUCGUGCCAGCCGCCGCGGUAA
Molecule: ribosomal RNA, 447 nt
Filed under: uncultured bacterium
Lineage: Bacteria
Description: partial 16S ribosomal RNA
Rfam family: Bacterial small subunit ribosomal RNA
Source: RNAcentral